AAUCAAGCUAAGAAGGGCAUAUGGUGGAUGCCUUGGCACCAGCCGGCGAUGAAGGACGCGGAUAGCUGCGAAAAGCUUCGGGGAGCCGCUAAACAGGCAUUGAUCCGGAGAUUUCCGAAUGGGGAAACCCGGCGGGGGUAAAUACCCCGUCAUCCUUGACUGAAUACAUAGGUCAAGCGAAGUCAACGAGGGGAAGUGAAACAUCUCAGUACCCUCAGGAAAAGAAAGUAAGACAACGAUUCUCCAAGUAGUGGCGAGCGAAAGGGGAAGAGCCCAAACCGCGAGUGCGUGACAGGUUGCAACCGUUUCACUUGCGGGGUUGUGGGUGCAUGCUUGAAGGCAUUGCAAUGCCUUCGGGGAGUUACAAAAGUCAUUGGUAGGAGAAGCUUCUGGGAAGGAGCGCCAAAGAGGGUGACAGCCCUGUAUCCGAAAAUAAUGACUCUCCCUUGUGUGUUACCCGAGUACCGCGGGACACGUGAAAUCCCGUGGGAAGCCGGAAGGACCAUCUUCCAAGGCUAAAUACGAGCUGGUGACCGAUAGUGAACAAGUACCGUGAGGGAAAGGUGAAAAGCACCCCGUUAAGGGGGGUGAAAUAGUAUCUGAAACCAUGUGCCUACAAUCUGUGGGAGCCCUAUGGCCGCAAGGCAAUGGGUGACUGCGUGCCUUUUGCAUAAUGAGUCAGCGAGUUACUUUGUGCAGCGAGGUUAAGCCGAUAGAGGUGGAGCCGAAGCGAAAGCGAGUCUUAAUAGGGCGUCGAGUUGCACGGAGUAGACCCGAAACCGGGUGAUCUAUCCAUGUCCAGGGUAAAGCUGGGGUAAGACCCAGUGGAGGCCCGAACCGUAGAAGGUUGAAAACUUCCCGGAUGAGGUGUGGAUAGGGGUGAAAGGCCAAUCAAACUCGGUGAUAGCUGGUUCUCCCCGAAAUAUAUUGAGGUAUAGCCUCGCACGGUAGCCGACGGAGGUAGAGCACUGGAUGGGCUAGGGCCCUUACCGGGGUACCAAACCUAACCAAACUCCGAAUGCCGUUGGUGGAACUGCGGGAGUCAGACUGCGGGGGAUAAGCUCCGUAGUCGAGAGGGAAAAAGCCCAGACCGACAGCUAAGGUCCCAAAAUACAUGCUAAGUGGGAAAGGAUGUAGGACUACCCAGACAGCCAGGAGGUUGGCUUAGAAGCAGCCAUCCUUUAAAGAAAGCGUAAUAGCUCACUGGUCGAGUGGGCCCGCGCCUAAGAUGUAACGGGGCUCAAGCAUGAUACCGAAGCUUCGGAUUUGCACUUUAGUGCAAGUGGUAGGGGAGCGUUCCUUCAGGGAAGAAGCCUGACCGUAAGGACCGGUGGACUUGAAGGAAGUGCUUAUGCUGACAUGAGUAGCGAUAAAGCGGGUGAGAAUCCCGCUCGCCGAAAACCUAAGGUUUCCUGGGGAAGGUUCGUCCGCCCAGGGUAAGUCGAUACCCUAAGCCGAGGCCGAAAGGCGUAGGUGAUGGGAAACAGGUUAAUAUUCCUGUACCGCCGCAUUCGCGUUACUACCGAAGGGGGGACGCAGCAGGGCAGGUUGGCCGGGUGUUGGACAUCCCGGUUUAAGCACGUAGGCGGGGGACCCAGGCAAAUCCGGGACCCCAUUAAAACGCCGAGAUGCGAAUACGAGGCCGCUUCAGGCCGAAGCAACUGAUCCCACACUGCCGAGAAAAUCCUCUAGGGAGUUGAUGAGGCGAUCGUACCGCAAACCGACACAGGUAGGUGAGGAGAGAAUCCUAAGGCGCGUGAGAGAACUCUGGCUAAGGAACUCGGCAAAAUAACACCGUAACUUAGGGAGAAGGUGUGCCCCUGUAGGGUGAAGGGACUUGCUCCUGGAGCCCCAAAGGGUUGCAUAGAAAUGGCGGUAGCGACUGUUUAUCAAAAACACAGGACUCUGCUAAGUCACAAGACGAUGUAUAGGGUCUGACGCCUGCCCGGUGCCGGAAGGUUAAGGAGAGAGGUCAGCGC
RNAcentral lists this ribosomal RNA (1979 nucleotides) under bacterium. Its description in RNAcentral is "partial 23S ribosomal RNA". It matches the Rfam family "Bacterial large subunit ribosomal RNA", at positions 1 to 1896 of the family's 2925-position model. The record is from RNAcentral.